UACGGAGGGGGCAAGCGUUAUUCGGAAUUAUUGGGCGUAAAGGGCGCGUAGGCGGCCUCACAAGUCAGGGGUGAAAUCCCUCGGCUCAACCGAGGAAUUGCCUCUGAAACUGUGAGGCUUGAGUCCGGGAGAGGGUGGUGGAAUUCCCAGUGUAGCGGUGAUAUGCGUAGAUACUGGGAGGAACACCAGUGGCGAAGGCGGCCACCUGGACCGGUACUGACGCUGAGGCGCGAAAGCGUGGGGAGCAAACAGG
RNAcentral lists this ribosomal RNA (253 nucleotides) under uncultured bacterium. RNAcentral describes it as "partial 16S ribosomal RNA". It matches the Rfam family "Bacterial small subunit ribosomal RNA", at positions 524 to 776 of the family's 1533-position model. The record is from RNAcentral.